AACGAACGCUGGCGGCGCGCCUAAUACAUGCAAGUCGAGCGAGAAGACGUAGCAAUACGUUUGUAAAGCGGCGAACGGGUGAGGAAUACAUGGGUAACCUACCCUAGAGUGGGGAAUAACUAGCCGAAAGGUUAGCUAAUACCGCGUACGCUCCUUGGACUUCGGUUCAGGGAGGAAAGCGAUGCCGAGGGUAUCGCGCUCUUGGAUGGGCUCAUGUCCUAUCAGCUUGUUGGUGAGGUAACGGCUCACCAAGGCUUCGACGGGUAGCUGGUCUGAGAGGACGAUCAGCCACACUGGCACUGCGACACGGGCCAGACUCCUACGGGAGCAGCAGUAAGGAUAUUGCGCAAUGGGCAAAGCCUGACGCAGCGACGCCGCGUGGGGGA
This 386-nucleotide ribosomal RNA is filed under the name uncultured bacterium. RNAcentral describes it as "bacterial SSU rRNA". It matches the Rfam family "Bacterial small subunit ribosomal RNA", at positions 29 to 408 of the family's 1533-position model. The record is from RNAcentral.